RNAcentral lists this ribosomal RNA (399 nucleotides) under uncultured bacterium. RNAcentral's name for it is "bacterial SSU rRNA". It matches the Rfam family "Bacterial small subunit ribosomal RNA", at positions 362 to 776 of the family's 1533-position model. The record is from RNAcentral.
UAUUGCGCAAUGGAGGAAACUCUGACGCAGUGACGCCGCGUAUGGGAAGAAGGUUUUCGGAUUGUAAACCAUUGUCGUUAGGGAAGAAGAAGUGACAGUACCUAAGGAGGAAGCUCCGGCUAACUAUGUGCCAGCAGCCGCGGUAAUACAUAGGGAGCAAGCGUUAUCCGGAUUUAUUGAGUGUAAAGGGUGCGUAGACGGGAAUUUAAGUUGGUUGUGAAAUCCCUCGGCUCAACUGAGGAACUGCAACCAAAACUGGAUUUCUUGAGUACUGGAGAGGAAAGUGGAAUUCCUAGUGUAGCGGUGAAAUGCGUAGAUAUUAGGAGGAACACCAGUGGCGAAGGCGACUUUCUGGACAGUAACUGACGUUGAGGCACGAAAGUGUGGGGAGCAAACAGG